RNAcentral lists this ribosomal RNA (513 nucleotides) under uncultured bacterium. RNAcentral describes it as "bacterial SSU rRNA". It matches the Rfam family "Bacterial small subunit ribosomal RNA", at positions 842 to 1355 of the family's 1533-position model. The record is from RNAcentral.
CGCGCCGUAGCUAACGCAUUAAGUGCCCCGCCUGGGGAGUACGGCCGCAAGGCUAAAACUCAAAGGAAUUGACGGGGGCCCGCACAAGCGGCGGAGCAUGCGGAUUAAUUCGAUGCAACGCGAAGAACCUUACCAAGGCUUGACAUGUGCCAGACCGCUCCAGAGAUGGGGUUUCCCUUCGGGGCUGGUUCACAGGUGGUGCAUGGUUGUCGUCAGCUCGUGUCGUGAGAUGUUGGGUUAAGUCCCGCAACGAGCGCAACCCUCGUUCCAUGUUGCCAGCACGUAGUGGUGGGGACUCAUGGGAGACUGCCGGGGUCAACUCGGAGGAAGGUGGGGAUGACGUCAAAUCAUCAUGCCCCUUAUGUCUUGGGCUUCACGCAUGCUACAAUGGCCGGUACAAUGGGUUGCGAUACUGUGAGGUGGAGCUAAUCCCUAAAAGCCGGUCUCAGUUCGGAUUGGGGUCUGCAACUCGACCCCAUGAAGUCGGAGUCGCUAGUAAUCGCAGAUCAGCAA